CUCUGGAAGUUUUGCACGUCGCUGUGAAAAUCUUUGUCGUUACCCUUUGAAAGGUGGGCGUUGGGAAGUAGGUUUUAAAUCUAGCUUCAGAUGACAUGCAGAAAAGUCUGAAAUAGCAGCAAUCUUUCUGAUUUAGUAGAGUGUUGGAAUCCUUUAGUUGUGAAAUGAGAUGAAAAUUCUAUUCCCCAGAAUUUGUUUGAAGUAGUGUUUGGUAGGAAUAUUUUGUUAUGCUACCUGGGGUGGGGACGGUAUCUCAAAAACACAGGCUGGUUGCACGUGGUCACUAGGCUAUCUUCUCGGGAGUGUAAGUGCAAUCAGCUAGAGCCCUCUGAGUUUCACUGAGAAUUUUGAUGGGUUUACAUCUGUGAACUUGAAGGUAGAAGCCAAGAAGAGGUAAAUGCUUAGUAUAAAUAGAGAAGAAAUAUAUUAGAAGUGAGAGAGAAAGAGAAAUCUUGUGGCACACUCCAGAGCCAUCAAAGGGGAAGCAGUAUUAGAGGAGGAGUAUUCAAGAGAGAUCUCUGGUACUGGCGAGCCAAGGGUGGAAGUCAAAGAACAGAUAUGUUAAGGGGGAUUCCCACAAAUGUUUAUUUUGAAAAAUACCAAAACUUCAGAAAAGUUAUAAGAAUCGUACAUUAAACACUGGUGUAUCCCUUAUGUGUACAUAUAAAUGUAUACAGAGGGACAGAGAGUGCACUUUUAUUAACAUGUGUAUUGACAUUUUGUAUAUAGAUAGGCAGAUAAGAAAGUUGAUACAGAGAGAAAUGUGUGUGUAUAUAUAUAUAUAUUUUUUUUUUUCUUUUUCUGAACCAUAUGAAGGUUGUUGGUAGACAUCAUGCAGCUUCACCACUAAGUGCUUCAGUAUGUGUUUCCUGAGAACAAGGCCAUUGCUCCUAUAUAACCAGGAUGCAAUUGUCCCACUCAGGAACUUAAGCUUGCUAAAAUACAAUAUCUAACAUUUAGUGCAUAUUCAAAUUUCCCCAUUGUCCCAAAAAUAUCCUUAUAAAUCUCCAAUUUAAAGGGGAUUUUAAAAUUGUUUGCUGUGUUCAACAUAAAUGCCUUUUCCAUUUUCCCCACAAAGUCAUCAAAAGCAACCACAUUUCUCAUCAACGUUUUUUGCCAAUGAAUUCUGUGGGGGAAAUUAUAGAUGUCCCAUGUCCAGAUUGGCAGGGAGUGAAAAUAGAAAUAAUAGCAGCUGCCAGAAGAGAGAUUGGUUGACGCGGAUUCCAUUUGCGUCAACGAUUUGGAGGAGAGGAGCUUUGUAGAGGCAGUAAGUAGCAGAGACAGAUUGAAAACCACCUAGUCUGUUCCUAGGGUGUUGCCCCUUUUCUUACCACUCAUGUUUUAAAUCUGUCCUCUCUUAGUUGUUAGUAGUUUUCCCAGAUCCUACCAUGUACAUUCAGCUUGCUCUCAUAGGUCUCUUUUUAAAAAAUAGAUCUAUUUUGAGAGCAGUUUUAUAUUUACAGAAAAAUUGAGAAAAUAGUACAGAGUUCCUAUAUAUCCUCUUUACCUCUGCACACAAUUUCCACUAUCAACAUCUUACAUUAGUAGAGAAUAUUAGUUACAACUGAUGCACCAGUAUUCACAAAUUAUGAUUAAUGGAAUCCAUACUUAAUUCAGAUUUCCAUAGUUUUUAACCUAGAGUCCUUUCUGUUCCAAGAUCCCGUCCAGGAAUCAAAAUUUCAUUUAGUUGUUAUUUCUCCUUAGGCUCCUUAGACUGUAACAGUUUCUCAGACUUUUCUUGUUUUUGAUGUCCUCAAUGGUUUCGAACUCAUAGGUUUUUCGAUAAUUUAAUCUCCCUACGUUGCCCGGCAAAGCACCACAAAAAGUAUUGUUUCCAAUUAAAUAAAAUGUCAGACAAUUGGUGGAAAUCAAAUCCUGUUUGAAGUAGCUGCAUGAUAAGGAUGAUAAAGUUAUUUUAGCAGUUGUGUUUGGUUUUGGUCAUUUUAUAACUACUCAUUGAUUAAAUAUGGGCUAUCGAGUUCACAGGAUUCAUUGACUGGCAUAGUCUUCUUUGGGUGGAUUGAGUCAAUGAAGCUCCAGGCAUAAAGAUCAACUGAGAGAGAACCAUACAGAAGGUGCCUUUUCCUCUGGAAACUUGUGUUGUAACAGAUGAUACAUGACAGAUGUUUUAUGCUUUUCUCAUCAUCUUUGCAAGAAUCUCGGGGUAAUUUUGCUUGAGACAUAUGCUGCUAUCCUUUGCCAAGGAAGUAUUUCUCUUGUCUUUUAAAUUUUUUUAAAUCAAAAUAUAAUUUACAUGUAGUGAUAAGCACAGAUCUUAUGUGCAUAGUUAGGUGUUUUGACAAAUGUUUUGACAGAUGUAAGCCACAUCUCAUCGGACAGAGAACAUGUUCAUCACUAUAGAAAAUGAUCUCAUGCCUUUUCCAAAUAAGUGCCUGCCCUUAAUUCCCAGAGGCAACCAAUGGUUCAAUUUCUUUACCAUAGAUUAAGUUGGCUUGUCCUAGGACUUCAUCAAAUGGGAUCAUGCAGUUUGUACUCUUUUGUGUCUGGGCAUCUUUAGUUUAACAUAAUGUUUUUGAGAUUUGUUCAUGUUUUGUGUCUAUCAAAAGUUUAUUCUAUUUUAUUGCUGAGUAGUAUUCAUUGUAUUGUAUUAAUAUACCACAACUUCUUUUUUUUUUUAUACCACAACUUCUUUAUCUACUUUUAUAUUGAUAAAAAUUUGCUUUUUUUCCCGAUUUUUGGGGGCUAUUUUGAAUGAAGUUGUUGUGAAUAUUCUUGUUUAUGUCCUUUUUGUGGACUUCUGUUUCUCUUGAGGGUGGAGUUUCUGGAGCGUGUUUAAUGUCAUAAGAAAACGUCAAACCAUUUCCCAGAGAGGUUGUAACAUUUUAUACUCUGUGUUAGUUAUCUACCGCUGCAUGACAAUAUUACCACAAAUUUAACAGCAAAAAGCAAUAUACUUUUUUUUUCUCCCAGUUUGGAUCAGGAGGCUGGGCAUAGCUUAGAUAAUCCUUUGCAAGGCUGUGAUUGAGUGCUGACCCAAACUGGGUUCUCCUGCUUUAACUGGGGAAGGACAUGAUUCCAGACUCAUGUGGUUUUUGGCAGAAUUCACUUCCUUGUGUUGUGUGAUCGAGAACUUCAAUUUCUUGCUGGCUGCGAGCUGGUGGCCGCCCUCAGCUGCUAGAGAGGCUGCCAACAGUUCCCUACCAUGUGGGGUUCUUUAACAUGGGCAGUUGCUUCCUCAAAGCCAGUGAAGGAGCAAGAGGUUCCAUCCAGCAAGGUGAAUGCAGCAAUCUCAUAAAAUGUAAUCAUGUAAUCAAAUAUAUUUAAUCAUAUACAUCCCAUUACCUUUGCCGUAUUUUAAUGUAAGUCCCACUCACACUCAAGGGGAGGGAUCACACAGGGAAUGAAUACCAGAAGGUGGGGAUUAAAGGGGCCAGUGUAAGAGUAUGUACACCACACACUCCUACCGUAAAUGAAUGGUUGCUUCACAUCUUUGCCAACAUUCGGUGUUGCCAUUUAUUUAAUUUUAGCCAUUCCAGUUGUUGUAGAAUAUGCCACUGUGAUUUAUUGUUAUUUUAUUUUGUGAGUAUAGUUGGCACGCAAUGUUCAGUUAGUUUAAGGCAUACAACAUAUGAUUUGACAAGUUUGUGCGUUACACCAUGCUCACUACAAAAGUAACUACCAUCUGUCACCUACAACCCUAUUACAAUAUCAUUGGCUACUUCCCUAUGCUGUACCUUUUACUCCCAUUGUGGUUUUAAUUUGUACCUCUAAUGUCUAACGAUGCUAAGUAUUUCUCUAUGAGCUUAUUGGCCAAUCAUAUAUCUUCUUUCAGGGGAUGCCUUUUCCUUGUAUUUUGCCCAUUUAAAAGGUUGUGUUGUUUGUCUUUUUACUAUUGAGUUGAAGGAGUUCCUUAUGUAUUUUGGAUAAAGAUCUUUCGAUAGAUAUAUGCAUUACAAAUAUUUUCUCUCUGUCUACGUAUUGCCUAGGUUUUUUCUUAGCAGUGUCCUUUGAUGAGCAGAUAAUUUUAACUUAGAUGAAGUCUGAUUCACCGAUUUUUCUGUGAUGUUUAGUGCUGUUCUGGUAAGAAUAUUCCUCUAUUAGUAAUUGGUAAAACGAGUAAAUAGUACAUUUAAAAAUAAACCAUGACCCAAAGGAGAAAGAACAAGGGAAAUAAAAUAUUUUGAACUGAAUGUUAAUAAAAAUACAUAUUAAACCAUCCCAUAUUUGUGAGAUACAGAGCUGAAUCAGUGCCUAGAAUGGAAUUUGUAGUCUAACAUGCUUACAGCUUAAAAUAAAUUAUUUAGGGUGCCCUAAGUGGCUUAGUUGGUUAAGCAUUUGCCUUCAGCUCAGGUCAUGAUCCCAGGAUCCUGGGGUAGAGCCCCACAUCAGGCUCUCUGCUCGGCAGGGAGCCUGCUUCUCCUGCUCCCUCUGCCUGCCCCUCCUCAUUUGUGCUCUCUCUUUCUGUGUGUCGAAUAAAUAAAUAAAUAAAUAAAAUCUUUAAAAAAAUAACUUACUGAAGCUUCCACCUUACAAAGCAAAAGGAAAUAAAUAAGAGUAAAUUAAUCCAAGGAAGUUUUUAAAAGGAAACAAUAAAUUUAGGGAAAAUCAAUAAAAUAGAAAAUGAAUCAACCAAUUAAUUCAGGAAAAAUCAGCGUGACCAAAAUUUUGUUCUUAUAAAAGAACAAUUGAGGCAAUAAAGCUCUUCUUGGACUGAUCAAGAAAAAAAAAUCAAUGAAAAAAAUUAGUAAGAUAGAACUUUAAAUCAGUUAAAAAUUCAUUGAUAUAAUAUACUGUGUCACACUAGCAUAGAGGACAACGACCACACUGUUAUCACACUGUUAUCUCAAAAGAUACAGAAAAAGCAUUUGACUAAAAUCUAUUACCCUUUCAUGACAAAAGUGCUCAACAAAUUAGGAAUAGAAGGAAAAUUCCUCAACCUGAUAAAUACUUCUAUGAAAGUCCCCCCAGAGAACAUGAUACAUAUCGGUAAAACACUGAAUGUGUUCUGCUAAGGAACAGAAACAAGACAAUGGUGUUUGUUCUCAUCACUUCACCACUUCUUUUUUUUUUUCUUUUUUUUAAGAUUUUAUUUAUUUAUUAAUAAGAGACACAGAGACAGGCAAAGACACAGGCAGAGGGAGAAGCAGGCUCCAUGCAGGGAGCCCGACGUGGGACUCAAUCCCGGGUCUCCAGGACCACACUCUGGGCAGAAGCUGGCGCUAAACCACUGAGCCACCCUGGCUGCCCUGUUCUCACCACUUCUAUUCAACAUUGUAUGGAAGGCUCUAACCUGGGAAGUUAGGCAAGAAAAUAAAAUAAAAGGCAUUCAGAUUGGAAAGGAAGAAGUAAAAUGAUAUGAUCUUGUAUAUUAAAAAAAAAAAAGUUCUAGGAAAUUCAUUAAAAACAAUGAACGAUCUAAAAAUAAAAUAAGGAAAACAAGUCCAUUUGCAAUAGUACCAAAAAA
Molecule: long non-coding RNA, 5425 nt
Filed under: Canis lupus familiaris (dog)
Lineage: Eukaryota; Metazoa; Chordata; Mammalia; Carnivora; Canidae
Description: lncRNA (ENSCAFG00845026735.1)
Source: RNAcentral